UAGGUUGCCUGUGUCUGUACCCCGUUUCAUCUUCACUUCUGGGAACCAGGCUGAUGGAGAAGUCUUCUAGCAGAAGUACUAUGGGUCAUGAUGGCAGAAAGAAGAGCAAACUUGGUGGACCAUGUGCUGGCCCUUGAUGGGUCUACUCAGAUGGGUCACGUAUCUCUGCUCACAAGAUAAUCAGCAAAGGAGAGAUUGAUGACUGGGGACGCAAUGAACUAAAAA
This 225-nucleotide long non-coding RNA is filed under the name Homo sapiens (human). Its description in RNAcentral is "HSALNT0048073". The record is from RNAcentral. Lineage: Eukaryota; Metazoa; Chordata; Mammalia; Primates; Hominidae.